GUUUUCGGAGGGCUCUUCACUCGAUAUGUAUAAUCUAAUGCCACUAAGUACUAUGAAAUGAUCGACUGGUCUUCUACAGUAGUUUCACCUCCUCCAGUACUUAGGAAUGUGUCAAAUGCAGUUUUGGUAUCUUCCAUUGGUAACCAACUAUCAAUCGGUCAAAGCAACUUGCUAAGCUUUCCAUGCCACACUCAAGCAGUAGAGCGAACUGUUAAGCUUGUUACUGAAGCGUCGAAGAAGUUUGCCUAAAUUUGAGAACAAGUCCCAGUAUACAAAAGACAAAUAAAACAAAAUCGAAAAACAAAAAGAAAAUUAAAAAAAAAACAACAAAAAUUUUAAAAAAUCUAAAAAAAAAUCAAAAAAAAAAUAUAUAAAUCAUUAAAAAAAUACAAAAAAAUCAUUAAAAACAAAUAAAAAAAUAGCAAUAAAAAACUGGGAUCAGAUUUUUCACUACGUCCUCGUCGUUGAUCCUGGGGAAAGCUGAGCGUGAAAAACAAUCGUAAUGCAUGAAAUUUGUACUAAAAACUUAUUUAUUUUAAAUUCUUAAAACCACUAUUGAUUUACCUAAUUACGAAAAAACCUUUUAAAUGAUUCAAAAUAAAUAUAAUAAUAAGUAAAACUUUGGAAAAUUGCGACUAAAUCGUACUUUCAAGAAGUUUUGAAAAUUCGGUAUUUUCGAAAAUUUUUCGAAACUUUAAGUGCGAUGCGCGAACAGAAGAUAUUGACCGAUU
Long non-coding RNA from Drosophila ananassae, 731 nucleotides. RefSeq lists it as uncharacterized. The transcript has 2 exons. The record is from RefSeq and is a predicted model, not a curated record. NCBI's taxonomy places the organism in Eukaryota, Metazoa, Arthropoda, Insecta, Diptera, Drosophilidae.